GGUGGGGUAAAGGCCUACCUAUGCGACGAUCUGUGUCGGGUCUGAGAGGAUGAUCCCCCACAGUGCGACUGAAACUCAGCUCAUACUCCUACUGCACGCAUCUGUGGGGAAUAUUGUACUAUGGGUGACAGCCUGAUCCAGCCAUGCCACGUGUGUGAAGAAGGCCUUUUGGUUGUAAAGCACUUUAAGCUAGGAGGACGCUCUCUUGGUUAAUACCCAAGAUGAGUGGACGUUACUCGCACAAUAAUCACCGGCUAACUCUGUGCCAUCAUCCUCGGUAAUACAGAGGGUGCGAUCGUCAAUCGGAUUUACUGGGCGUCAAGCGUGCGUACGCGGGUUUUUACCUCCGAUGUGAAAUCCCCGAGCUUAACUUGCGAAUUGCCUUCCAUACUGGGAAGCUAGACUAUGGGANAGGAUGGUAGAAUUCCAGGUGNANCGGUGAAAUGCGUAGAGAUCUGGAGGAAUACCGAUGGCGAAGGCAGCCAUCUGGCCUAAUACUGACGUUGAGGUAUGAAAGCAUGUGGAGCAAACAGGAUUAGAUACCGCGGUAGUCCAUGCUGUAAACGACGUCUCAUAGCCGCUGGGGCCUUUGAGGCUUUAGUGGCGCAGCUAACGUGAUAAGUAGACCGCUUGGGGAGUACGGUCGCAGAGACUAUAACUCAAAUGAAUUGACGGGGGCCCGCACAAGCGGUGGAGCAUGUGGUUUAAUUAGAUGCAACGCGAAGAACCUUACUUGGUCUUGACAUAGUAAGAACUUUCCAGAGAUGGAUUGGUGCCUUCGGGAAUUAACAUCCAGGUGCUGCAGGGCUGUCGUCAGCUGCCUUCUCGAGAUGUAGGGUUAAGUCCAGCAACGAGCGCAACCUCUCUUCUUAGUCGCGGGCAGAUCGGGCGGGAACUCUAAGGAUACUGCCAGUGACAAACUGGAGGAAUGCGGGGAUGACGUCAGUUCCUCAUGGCCCGUACGACCUGGGCUACUCACGUGCUACAAUGGUCGGUACAAAGGGUUGCUACCUCGCGAUAGGAUGCUAAUUUCAAAAAGCCGAUCGUAGUCAGGACUUGGAGUCUGCAAUUCGACUCCAUGAAGUAGGAAUCGUUAGUAAUCGCGGAUCAGAAUGCCGCGGUGAAUACGUUCCCG
Molecule: ribosomal RNA, 1135 nt
Filed under: uncultured bacterium
Lineage: Bacteria
Description: bacterial SSU rRNA
Rfam family: Bacterial small subunit ribosomal RNA
Source: RNAcentral